This 2323-nucleotide ribosomal RNA is filed under the name marine metagenome. RNAcentral describes it as "bacterial LSU rRNA". It matches the Rfam family "Bacterial large subunit ribosomal RNA", at positions 14 to 2364 of the family's 2925-position model. The record is from RNAcentral.
AGCGUAUACGGUGGAUGCCUAGGCAGUUAGAGGCGAUGAAGGACGUGUAAGUCUGCGAUAAGCAUUGGGAAGCUGACAAAACGCGUUAUACCCAAUGAUUUCCGAAUGGGGAAACCCAGGUCUUAGGACCUAUCAUAUAGUGAAUACAUAGCUAUAUGAAGCAAACGAGGGGAACUGAAACAUCUAAGUACCCUUAGGAAGAGAAAUCAAACGAGAUUCCCCUAGUAGCGGCGAGCGAACGGGGAACAGCCGAAUCAGCAUGGUGUAGUGGAAUGAGUUGGGAAGCUCAGCGAUACAGGGUGAUAGCCCCGUACACGAAGCGCCAUGUUGGUCAUAUUAAGUAGGUCGGGACACGUGUUAUCUUGACUGAAGAUGGGGGGACCAUCCUCCAAGGCUAAAUACUCCUAACUGACCGAUAGUGAACUAGUACCGUGAGGGAAAGGCGAAAAGAACCCCUGUGAGGGGAGUGAAAUAGAACCUGAAACCGUAUACGUACAAGCAGUAGGAGCCUGGAUUCUCUUCGGAGAUAGUAGGGUGACUGCGUACCUUUUGUAUAAUGGGUCAGCGACUUAUAUUUAGUAGCAAGGUUAACCGAAUAGGGGAGCCGUAGCGAAAGCGAGUGUUAACUGCGCGUUGAGUUGCUAGGUAUAGACCCGAAACCGAGUGAUCUAGCCAUGGGCAGGUUGAAGGUUGAGUAACAUCAACUGGAGGACCGAACCGACUAACGUUGAAAAGUUAGCGGAUGACUUGUGGCUGGGGGUGAAAGGCCAAUCAAACCGGGAGAUAGCUGGUUCUCCCCGAAAUCUAUUUAGGUAGAGCCUCGGACGAACACCAUUGGGGGUAGAGCACUGUUAAGGCUAGGGGGUCAUCCCGACUUACCAACCCUUUGCAAACUCCGAAUACCGAUGAGUGCUAUCCGGGAGACACACGGCGGGUGCUAACGUCCGUCGUGAAGAGGGAAACAACCCAGACCGCCAGCUAAGGUCCCAAAAUAUUGCUAAGUGGGAAACGAUGUGGGAAGGCUAAGACAGCUAGGAGGUUGGCUUAGAAGCAGCCAUCCUUUAAAGAAAGCGUAAUAGCUCACUAGUCGAGUCGGCCUGCGCGGAAGAUGUAACGGGGCUAAGCAAUAUACCGAAGCUGCGGAUUUGAACUUAGGUUCAAGUGGUAGGGGAGCGUUGUGUAAGUGGAUGAAGGUGUAUUGAGAAGUAUGCUGGACAUAUCACAAGUGCGAAUGCUGACAUGAGUAACGAUAAGGGGAGUGAAAAACUCCCCCGCCGGAAGACCAAGGUUUCCUGUCCCAUGCUAAUCAGGGCAGGGUAAGUCGGCCCCUAAGGCGAGGCAGAAAUGCGUAGUCGAUGGGAAACAGAUUAAUAUUUCUGUACUUAUAUAGUGAGUGAAGGAGAGACGGAGAAGGCUAGGCAAGCAUGGCGUUGGUAGUCCAUGUGAAAGUGCGUAGGCAGGGGGAUUAGGCAAAUCCGGUCCCCCCUUUAAGAGAGAAUGCUAAGACACGAGACGAGACACUAAGGUGUUGAAGUUGUUGAUGCCCUGCUUCCAGGAAAAUCUUCUAAGCGUAUUGCUAUAUGAACCGUACCCCAAACCGACACAGGUGGUCAGGUAGAGAAUACUAAGGCGCUUGAGAGAACUCGGGUGAAGGAACUCGGCAAAAUAGUACCGUAACUUCGGGAGAAGGUACGCCUUUGUUUGUGAUUGCACUUGCUGCAUGAGCGAAUGAAGGCCGCAGUGACCAGGAGGCUGGGACUGUUUAUUAAAAACACAGCACUGUGCUAAAUCGAAAGAUGACGUAUACGGUGUGACACCUGCCCGGUGCCGGAAGGUUAAUUGAUGGGGUUAGCGUAAGCGAAGCUCUUGAUCGAAGCCCCGGUAAACGGCGGCCGUAACUAUAACGGUCCUAAGGUAGCGAAAUUCCUUGUCGGGUAAGUUCCGACCUGCACGAAUGGUGUAACCAUGGCCUCGCUGUCUCCACCCGAGACUCAGUGAAAUUGAAAUUGCAGUGAAGAUGCUGUGUACCCGCACCUAGACGGAAAGACCCCGUGAACCUUUACUACAGCUUGGCACUGAACAUUGACCCUACAUGUGUAGGAUAGGUGGGAGACUAUGAAGCAUUGUCGCUAGAUGAUGUGGAGUCAACCUUGAAAUACCACCCUUGUAUGUUUGAUGUUCUAACGUUGACCCCUAAUCGGGGUUGCGGACAGUGUCUGGUGGGUAGUUUGACUGGGGCGGUCUCCUCCCAAAGAGUAACGGAGGAGCACGAAGGUUGGCUAAUCCUGGUCGGACAUCAGGAGGUUAGUGCAAUGGCAUAAGC